GUUAACGGGGGAUUAGGGUUCGAUUCCGGAGAGGGAGCCUGAGAAACGGCUACCACAUCUAAGGAAGGCAGCAGGCGCGCAAAUUACCCAAUUCUAACAGUUUGAGAGAGGUAGUAACAAGAAAUAACAAUACAAGGCAGUUAAAAUGCUUUGUAAUUGGAAUGAUAGAAAUUUAAACCCUUUUUAAAGUAUCAAUUGGAGGGCAAGUCUGGUGCCAGCAGCCGCGGUAAUUCCAGCUCCAAUAGCGUAUAUUAAAAUUGUUGCAGUUAAAAAGCUCGUAGUUGAAGUUCUGCURAAAGUAACCGGUCUGCUUUUAAUAAAAGUGGUAUCUUGGUAUGUAUUUAGCAAUGAUGUCCUUUGAAGUGUUUUUUACUUUAUUGUAAUAAAGCAUAUUCAGGACUUUUACUUUGAGAAAAUUAGAGUGUUUCUAGCAGGCUGACGCUUUGAAUACUGCAGCAUGGAAUAAUAAGAUAGGAUUUUAGUUCUACAUUAUUGGUUUUAAGAGCUAAAUUAAUGAUUGAUAGGGACAGUUGGGGGCAUUUGUAUUUAACUGUCAGAGGUG
RNAcentral lists this ribosomal RNA (562 nucleotides) under Hepatozoon sp. JPM-2014. Its description in RNAcentral is "bacterial SSU rRNA". It matches the Rfam family "Eukaryotic small subunit ribosomal RNA", at positions 360 to 924 of the family's 1831-position model. Lineage: Eukaryota; Apicomplexa; Hepatozoidae. The record is from RNAcentral.